AGAGUUUGAUCAUGGCUCAGGAUAAACGCUGGCGGCGUGCCUAACACAUGCAAGUCGAACGUCCUCGCACUUUUCGGAGCGCGAGGGAGUGGCGGACGGGUGAGUAACACAUGGGUGACCUACCCCCCAGUGAGGAAUACCGGCGGGAAAUCGCCGACAAGACCGCAUAGGCUUUCUUGGGUAGCCCUGAGGAAGCAAAGUCGCAAGACGCUGAGGGAUGGGCCUGUGGCCGAUUAGCUAGUUGGUGGGGUAAAAGCUCACCAAGGCGACGAUCGGUAGCUGGUCUGAGAGGACGAUCAGCCACACUGGGAUUGAGAACGGCCCAGACUCCUACGGGGGGCAGCAGUGAGGAAUUUUCCGCAAUGGUCGCAAGACUGACGGAGCAACGCCGCGUGCAGGAGGACGCUUUUCGGAGUGUAAACUGCUUUUCUGUGGGAAGAGCAAGGACGGUACCACAGGAAGAAGCCCCGGCUAACUACGUGCCAGCAGCCGCGGUAAUUC
RNAcentral lists this ribosomal RNA (501 nucleotides) under uncultured bacterium. RNAcentral describes it as "bacterial SSU rRNA". It matches the Rfam family "Bacterial small subunit ribosomal RNA", at positions 8 to 526 of the family's 1533-position model. The record is from RNAcentral.